RNAcentral lists this ribosomal RNA (1371 nucleotides) under uncultured bacterium. RNAcentral's name for it is "bacterial SSU rRNA". It matches the Rfam family "Bacterial small subunit ribosomal RNA", at positions 28 to 1381 of the family's 1533-position model. The record is from RNAcentral.
GAUGAACGCUGGCGGCGUGCCUAAUACAUGCAAGUCGAGCGAACGGACGAGAAGCUUGCUUCUCUGAUGUUAGCGGCGGACGGGUGAGUAACACGUGGAUAACCUACCUAUAAGACUGGGAUAACUUCGGGAAACCGUAGCUAAUACCGGAUAAUAUUUUGAACCGCAUGGUUCAAAAGUGAAAGACGGUCUUGCUGUCACUUAUAGAUGGAUCCGCGCUGCAUUAGCUAGUUGGUAAGGUAACGGCUUACCAAGGCAACGAUGCAUAGCCGACCUGAGAGGGUGAUCGGCCACACUGGAACUGAGACACGGUCCAGACUCCUACGGGAGGCAGCAGUAGGGAAUCUUCCGCAAUGGGCGAAAGCCUGACGGAGCAACGCCGCGUGAGUGAUGAAGGUCUUCGGAUCGUAAAACUCUGUUAUUAGGGAAGAACAUAUGUGUAAGUAACUGUGCACAUCUUGACGGUACCUAAUCAGAAAGCCACGGCUAACUACGUGCCAGCAGCCGCGGUAAUACGUAGGUGGCAAGCGUUAUCCGGAAUUAUUGGGCGUAAAGCGCGCGUAGGCGGUUUUUUAAGUCUGAUGUGAAAGCCCACGGCUCACCGUGGAGGGUCAUUGGAAACUGGAAAACUUGAGUGCAGAAGAGGAAAGUGGAAUUCCAUGUGUAGCGGUGAAAUGCGCAGAGAUAUGGAGGAACACCAGUGGCGAAGGCGACUUUCUGGUCUGUAACUGACGCUGAUGUGCGAAAGCGUGGGGAUCAAACAGGAUUAGAUACCCUGGUAGUCCACGCCGUAAACGAUGAGUGCUAAGUGUUAGGGGGUUUCCGCCCCUUAGUGCUGCAGCUAACGCAUUAAGCACUCCGCCUGGGGAGUACGACCGCAAGGUUGAAACUCAAAGGAAUUGACGGGGACCCGCACAAGCGGUGGAGCAUGUGGUUUAAUUCGAAGCAACGCGAAGAACCUUACCAAAUCUUGACAUCCUUUGACAACUCUAGAGAUAGAGCCUUCCCCUUCGGGGGACAAAGUGACAGGUGGUGCAUGGUUGUCGUCAGCUCGUGUCGUGAGAUGUUGGGUUAAGUCCCGCAACGAGCGCAACCCUUAAGCUUAGUUGCCAUCAUUAGGUUGGGCACUCUAAGUUGACUGCCGGUGACAAACCGGAGGAAGGUGGGGAUGACGUCAAAUCAUCAUGCCCCUUAUGAUUUGGGCUACACACGUGCUACAAUGGACAAUACAAAGGGCAGCGAAACCGCGAGGUCAAGCAAAUCCCAUAAAGUUGUUCUCAGUUCGGAUUGUAGUCUGCAACUCGACUACAUGAAGCUGGAAUCGCUAGUAAUCGUAGAUCAGCAUGCUACGGUGAAUACGUUCCCGGGUCU